Buceros rhinoceros silvestris is the source of this 132-nucleotide non-coding RNA. NCBI's taxonomy places the organism in Eukaryota, Metazoa, Chordata, Aves, Bucerotiformes, Bucerotidae. The record is from Rfam.
AAAGCAGGCUGCAAUUGCAGUGCUUCAUUCCGUGGGAGUACUGCCAUUUCCCUGCUGAGAGCAACCCUGUUAAUGCUGGCUUCGGUUUCACCUACACGGUGGUGAAACCAUUUGUUGUUGACAUGGACAAGU